RNAcentral lists this ribosomal RNA (242 nucleotides) under uncultured bacterium. RNAcentral describes it as "partial 16S ribosomal RNA". It matches the Rfam family "Bacterial small subunit ribosomal RNA", at positions 535 to 776 of the family's 1533-position model. The record is from RNAcentral.
CUAGCGUUGUUCGGAAUUACUGGGCGUAAAGCGCACGUAGGCGGCUUUGUAAGUUAGAGGUGAAAGCCCAGGGCUUAACCCUGGAAUUGCCUUUAAGACUGCAUCGCUAGAAUCGUGGAGAGGUGAGUGGAAUUCCGAGUGUAGAGGUGAAAUUCGUAGAUAUUCGGAAGAACACCAGUGGCGAAGGCGACUCACUGGACACGUAUUGACGCUGAGGUGCGAAAGCGUGGGGAGCAAACAGG